GAGAACUUAGCUUAAUUAAAGUGUUCAAUUUGCGUUUGAGUGAUGCAAGUUAAAGUCUUGUAGUUCUUA
Sarcophilus harrisii (Tasmanian devil) is the source of this 69-nucleotide non-coding RNA. Lineage: Eukaryota; Metazoa; Chordata; Mammalia; Dasyuromorphia; Dasyuridae. The record is from Rfam.